This 460-nucleotide ribosomal RNA is filed under the name uncultured bacterium. Its description in RNAcentral is "partial 16S ribosomal RNA". It matches the Rfam family "Bacterial small subunit ribosomal RNA", at positions 338 to 795 of the family's 1533-position model. The record is from RNAcentral.
CCUACGGGUGGCAGCAGUGAGGAAUAUUGGUCAAUGGACGAGAGUCUGAACCAGCCAAGUCGCGUGAAGGAUGACUGCCCUAUGGGUUGUAAACUUCUUUUAUAUGGGAAUAAAAUGUUCCACGUGUGGGGUUUUGUAUGUACCAUAUGAAUAAGGAUCGGCUAACUCCGUGCCAGCAGCCGCGGUAAUACGGAGGAUCCGAGCGUUAUCCGGAUUUAUUGGGUUUAAAGGGUGCGUAGGUGGAUUGUUAAGUCAGUGGUGAAAUUUUGCGGCUCAACCGUCAACUUGCAGUUGAAACUGGCAGUCUUGAGUACAGUAGAGGUGGGCGGAAUUCGUGGUGUAGCGGUGAAAUGCUUAGAUAUCACGAAGAACUCCGAUUGCGAAGGCAGCUCACCGGACUGCAACUGACACUGAGGCUCGAAAGUGUGGGUAUCAAACAGGAUUAGAUACCCUUGUAGUC